This 167-nucleotide ribosomal RNA is filed under the name uncultured bacterium. RNAcentral's name for it is "partial 16S ribosomal RNA". It matches the Rfam family "Bacterial small subunit ribosomal RNA", at positions 1334 to 1500 of the family's 1533-position model. The record is from RNAcentral.
GCUAGUAAUCGCAGAUCAGCAUGCUGCGGUGAAUACGUUCCCGGGCCUUGUACACACCGCCCGUCACACCGUGGGAGUCGGUAACACCCAAAGUUGGUAGCCUAACCGCAAGGAGGGCGCCGCCUAAGGUGGGAUUGAUGACUGGGGUGAAGUCGUAACAAGGUAUC